CAACAUGGCGGCCAGCUGCCACUUCUUUGCGGCUGCUUUGCUCUUCAGCGGGGUUUUAAGUUUUCCUGUCGGCCCAGAGGAAAGAGGCGCCACCGCCUGCGGAUACCAGUCAUGUCAGGCCACCAAGCCCACCAUGCUGAAUGUUCACCUGGUUCCUCACACACACGACGACGUGGGCUGGCUAAAGACCGUGGACCAGUACUUCUAUGGAGAUCGUAACGACAUCCAACACGCCGGCGUUCAGUACAUCCUGGACUCGGUGGUGGAUCAGCUGCUGAAGAACCCAGACAGACGGUUCAUCUACGUGGAGACGGGCUUCUUCUACCGCUGGUGGAAGCAGCAGAGCUCCAGCAUGCAGCAGACGGUCAAGCAGCUGGUUAACCAAGGUCGGCUGGAGUUUGUAAAUGGCGGCUGGUGUAUGAGCGACGAGGCCACGACGCACUACAGCGCCGUCAUCGACCAGAUGACCAUCGGCCUGAGGUUUCUGAACGAGACCUUUGGGAUCUGCGGUCGCCCCCGGGUCGCCUGGCACAUUGACCCCUUUGGCCACGCCCGCGAACACGCCUCUCUUUUUGCACAGAUGGGAUACGACGGCUUCUUCUUCGGUCGCCUGGACUACCAGGACCGGACUCGCAGGAUGAAGGCGAAGGAGCAGGAGCUCCUCUGGAGAGCCUCAGACAGCCUCCCACCACCCAUGGCUGACCUCUUCACCGGAAUCCUUCCCAACGGGUACAACCCUCCAGAAGGGUUCUGCUGGGACCAGCUGUGCGCCGACGCACCAAUCAGAGACGACCCCGACCUUGAGGAUUAUAACGUUGACGAUGUUGUCCAGCGUUUCCUUCGCGCCGCCAAGAGUCAGGCGUUAGUGUACAAGACCAACCACAUCAUUAUGACCAUGGGCUCAGACUUCCAGUACGAGAACGCCAACCUGUGGUACAAGAACCUGGACAAGCUGAUCCGCUACGUCAACGACCAGCAGGGCAACGGCAGCAACGUCAACGUCCUCUAUUCCACUCCAUCCUGCUACCUGCAGGAGCUUCACAAAGCUAACCUCACCUGGCCUCUGAAGACGGACGAUUUCUUUCCCUACGCGGACAACGCUCAUAACUUCUGGACGGGAUACUUCACAAGCCGACCGGCACUGAAACGCUACGAGAGGAUCAGCAACAGCAACCUGCAGUCUUGUAAUCAGCUGGAGGUUCUGGGCGGUCCCGUUUCCAGGAAUGGGCUGUUUGGACAGGGUGACAGCAAGACUUUGAGGAAAGCAAUGGCUGUGGCUCAGCACCAUGACGCAGUGUCAGGAACAGAGAAACAACAUGUUGCCAAUGACUACGCCAAGAUGCUAGCCAAAGGCUGGCAACACUGCCAGGUUUUGGUCAGCAACAGUUUGGCUUCCCUCACUGGCUCCUCCGCUGAAAGAAUCUACUGUGAUAACCUCAACGUCAGUGUGUGUCCUCUAACCGAGUCCAGCAGCAAGUUCUCGCUCAGUGUGUACAACCCUCUGGGUCGGUCCGUCACCUGGCCCGUCAGGCUGCCGGUCAACGGGACGGUGUACGCCGUCACUGACGCUCAAGGAAAACCCGUGGACUGUCAGGUGCUUCCUGUGUCCAGAGCCACACAGGAAGUGAGGAGGAGCCGCAGCUUCGCCAAGAACGAGCUGGUGUUCCAGGUCCGAGCUCCUCCUCUGGGUUACAGCAGCUACUCUGUGUCCCUGCUGCAGGACGGGCCGCCAUCGUCCUCGCCUCAACACCAGGCUCCCACCAGCAUCCAAAACAAGUUCCUUCAAGUGACCUUUGACCCUGACACUGGCCUUUUGUCCGGUCUCAGCAACCUGGAAACCAAACAGACCAUAAAGCUUUCACAAAACUUCUACUGGUACAAUGCCAGUGACGGCAACAACGACGAGAGUCGGCAGACCUCUGGAGCCUACAUCUUCAGACCCAACUCCUCCACACCUGUCAUGGUCAGCAGUAAGGCCAGAGUGGAGGUCUUUCAGAACUCGGUGGUGCAGGAGGUGCGGCAGCGGUUCGCUCCCUGGGUGUCUCAGGUGGUCCGACUCUACGCCGACAGCAAAGCCGUGGAGCUGGAGUGGACGGUCGGACCGGUGCCGGUCAAUGAUGACCAGGGGAAGGAAGUGAUCACUCGUCUGGACACCAGCAUUAAAACCGCAGAGUUUUUCUACACCGACUCAAACGGCAGAGAAGUUCUCCAGAGAAAGAAAGACUUCCGUCCCACAUGGCAGCUCAAGCAAACGGAACCCAUUGCUGGGAAUUAUUACCCCAUCAACUCUCGCGCCUUUAUAAAGGAUGGCACGGACCAACUCACAGUAGUGACAGAUCGCUCUCAGGGAGGAGCGAGUAUUUACAACGGAUCUCUGGAGAUCAUGCUUCACCGCCGGCUGCUGCAUGACGACUACCGCGGCGUCGGUGAAGCCCUCGAUGAGAGUUCGGAGCUCUUCCCCGACGGCCUGGUGGUCCGCGGUCGCCUCCUCCUCUCCCUGGAGCCGCCUGCCACCGCCGCAGACACACACCGCCCCCUGGCACAGGAAGUGGUAUCACAACCCCUGCUGUCGUUCACCAAUGGAGACCUGAACCCGAACGCACGACUGGAGUUUUCAGGCCUUCAAGCAUCGCUGCCCCCUGCUGUCCACCUCCUGACACUGAGUCAGUGGGACGAGGAGUCCGUCCUGCUCAGGCUGGAGCAUCAGUUCCAGAGCUGGGAGAGCAAAGCCAGCUCCCAACCCGUCACAGUCAACCUUCAGAAGCUGUUUUCCACUCUGAAUGUUCUGGGUGUUUCUGAGCUGAACCUUUCAGCCAAUCAGUGGAAAGAUGAGAUGAAGCGUUUUGAUUGGUCUCCUGAAAAAGAAGAGAAACCCCUGCUGAAGACGUUUGAGGAUCCGUCUGUGUGGGAAAUCACCCUGAGGCCCAUGGAGAUCAGAACAUUUUUACUCAGGGUCACAUUUCAAUAACCCAUCAUGUCCAUCCAAUAGGUGGAAAGGUGUUCCAAACUGAGGAUUCCGCAAAUAUCACUUAAAUCUGCAGUGAAAGGGAUUUGAAAAUAAUUUUCAUUUAUGCCUGUCUUUUUAUUGUUUCCACUAGUGACAGGCAUUAAAUCACACAACUUUCAAAUUUUAGCUGAAGACACCUUCAGACGCUGCUGUAACCGUCUUCUUUUCAGAAAAGCAAUCACCCAAAUAUCAGCUGAUUUAAAGACAACAAACACUGCAGGAGUGAAAUAAAGUUUAAAAAAAAGUUAGAAUGUCGAAUAAUUGCAGUCAUUUUAAAAGUUAGAGCCGUCAGUCAGGUUGAAUGACGAGCUUUAGGUUUGGACCAGAAGUUUCCAGGCAGAAGGUUUGUUUGACUGUAACAUACAGCAGGAGCCACACAACAUGAAUAAAACCUGAAACAAUUUAUUAUAACUGAAACUGCUGCUGAACAGCCCCCAACACUUCCUAUCAUAUUCCAAAAUAUCAGCAAUAUUUUAUACGAUUCCCACUGCUGAAAGCUUUUUCCGUUUGCAUUCACUUAGUAUUACCAAAUUGUCUUCACAGUACUUUUUUAAAUCCACCCAUGAUAUUCCUCAGUAUUAUGCUGUUCCUGUUACCGCCCUCUUGUGGUAGCAACAAAACAUUGCCACUAGACUAUUAAGAAUAAAAUGAACCUUUUAAGAAAUUUGAAUCUUUCCAACUUGGAGCAGUGACUGUAUUUCUGCUGUAAAGCGCUUUAAUCCUCUGAUUUGUCUUCACUGAAUUAUGCUGCGCUAUGAACAGACUGUUUAAAACCCACUUUUUUGAUUUUUUUUGGCAAAUAUUUAAAUGGGUACUAUGUUCAUCUAAAUCAGCUGAAGUUUAAGCUGCAGACAUGAGAGUUCAGAGGGCAAAACAUUGUGAUUGUCUGUAGGUUCCAUCUGUGGCUCAAAAACUAAAUUCAUUAAUGGUUUGGACUAAAACUGGAGCUGUGAUGAGGAAUAUUUUGGGUAAAAGGACAAUCUAUACCUGGAUUCAAGCAAAAAUCUAUUUUUUUAAAUGACUUAUUCUUGAGGUAUAUAAAGAAUAAUGAAGGUAGUUUUUUUUCAGGAAUUAUGCAUAACUGGAUAAAAAUCUUAAUUUUGUCUCCACUGUGAAAUUUCUGAACCAUCUGCACAUUUAUAAACAAUUUGAAGAUGUAGAUACAGGAUUAUUUCCAUGUCUGUAGAAACAACUGAUUGUUUUUGUUACCAACUGGUGCCAAAAUAUACUGACCAACAUGUGCAAUAUUUUGUUUUACUCAUGUAUGUACAUACAUGUUUUUACAGCUGAACAAGCAUCUUAUAAUAAAAUUCUGGUCAUUU
Molecule: RNA transcript, 4329 nt
Organism: Xiphophorus couchianus (Monterrey platyfish)
Lineage: Eukaryota; Metazoa; Chordata; Actinopteri; Cyprinodontiformes; Poeciliidae
Gene: man2b1
Gene name: mannosidase, alpha, class 2B, member 1
Exons: 24
Source: RefSeq, a predicted model, not a curated record